UACGGAGGGUGCAAGCGUUAUCCGGAUUCACUGGGUUUAAAGGGUGCGUAGGAGGGCAGGUAAGUCAGUGGUGAAAUCUCCAAGCUUAACUUGGAAACUGCCGUUGAUACUAUCUGUCUUGAAUACCGUGGAGGUGAGCGGAAUAUGUCAUGUAGCGGUGAAAUGCUUAGAUAUGACAUAGAACACCGAUUGCGAAGGCAGCUCGCUACACGAAUAUUGACUCUGAGGCACGAAAGCGUGGGGAUCAAACAGG
This 253-nucleotide ribosomal RNA is filed under the name uncultured bacterium. RNAcentral's name for it is "partial 16S ribosomal RNA". It matches the Rfam family "Bacterial small subunit ribosomal RNA", at positions 524 to 776 of the family's 1533-position model. The record is from RNAcentral.